AAGAGAUUAUAUUAAGAAGCUGCUAACUAUCUUUUUUACAUUAAAUUUGUUAAUCUCUUA
RNAcentral lists this transfer RNA (60 nucleotides) under Peregrinus maidis (corn hopper). RNAcentral describes it as "tRNA-Ser". The record is from RNAcentral. Lineage: Eukaryota; Metazoa; Arthropoda; Insecta; Hemiptera; Delphacidae.